This 253-nucleotide ribosomal RNA is filed under the name uncultured bacterium. RNAcentral's name for it is "partial 16S ribosomal RNA". It matches the Rfam family "Bacterial small subunit ribosomal RNA", at positions 524 to 776 of the family's 1533-position model. The record is from RNAcentral. RNAcentral also lists the same sequence under 1 other name.
GACGAACCGUGCGAACGUUGUUCGGAAUCACUGGGCUUAAAGGGCGCGUAGGCGGGCUAUCAAGUCCGGGGUGAAAUCCUCCAGCUCAACUGGAGAACGGCCUCGGAUACUGAUGGUCUCGAGGAGGAUAGGGGCACACGGAACUGUGGGUGGAGCGGUGAAAUGCGUUGAUAUCCAUAGGAACUCCGGUGGCGAAAGCGGUGUGCUGGAUCCUUUCUGACGCUGAUGCGCGAAAGCCAGGGGAGCAAACGGG